Molecule: transfer RNA, 70 nt
Filed under: Lutrogale perspicillata (Smooth-coated otter)
Lineage: Eukaryota; Metazoa; Chordata; Mammalia; Carnivora; Mustelidae
Description: tRNA-Ala
Rfam family: tRNA
About the family: Transfer RNA (tRNA) molecules are approximately 80 nucleotides in length. Their secondary structure includes four short double-helical elements and three loops (D, anti-codon, and T loops). Further hydrogen bonds mediate the characteristic L-shaped molecular structure. tRNAs have two regions of fundamental functional importance: the anti-codon, which is responsible for specific mRNA codon recognition, and the 3' end, to which the tRNAs corresponding amino acid is attached (by aminoacyl-tRNA synthetases). tRNAs cope with the degeneracy of the genetic code in two manners: having more than one tRNA (with a specific anti-codon) for a particular amino acid; and 'wobble' base-pairing, i.e. permitting non-standard base-pairing at the 3rd anti-codon position.
Source: RNAcentral
GAGGGCUUAGCUUAAAUUAAAGUGACUGAUUUGCGUUCAGUAGAUGUGAGAUGUAUCCUUGCAGUCCUUA